GACGAACGCUGGCGGCGUGCUUAACACAUGCAAGUCGAACGGAAAGGCCCUGCUUUUGUGGGGUGCUCGAGUGGCGAACGGGUGAGUAACACGUGAGUAACCUGCCCUUGACUGUGGGAUAACUUCAGGAAACUGGGGCUAAUACCGGAUAGGAGCUCCUGCUGCAUGGUGGGGGUUGGAAAGUUUCGGCGGUUGGGGAUGGACUCGCGGCUUAUCAGCUGGUUGGUGGGGUAGUGGCUUACCAAGGCUUUGACGGGUAGCCGGCCUGAGAGGGUGACCGGCCACAUUGGGACUGAGAUACGGCGCAGACUCCUACGGGAGGCAGCAGUGGGGAAUAUUGCACAGUGGGCGGAAGCGUGAUGCAGCAGCGCCGCGUGCGGGAUGACGGCCUUCGGGUUGUAAACCGCUUUCGCCUGUGACGAAGCGUGAGUGACGGUAAUGGGUAAAGAAGCACCGGCUAACUACGUG
RNAcentral lists this ribosomal RNA (468 nucleotides) under uncultured bacterium. RNAcentral's name for it is "partial 16S ribosomal RNA". It matches the Rfam family "Bacterial small subunit ribosomal RNA", at positions 28 to 507 of the family's 1533-position model. The record is from RNAcentral.